Molecule: ribosomal RNA, 638 nt
Filed under: uncultured fungus
Lineage: Eukaryota; Fungi
Description: eukaryotic LSU rRNA
Rfam family: Eukaryotic large subunit ribosomal RNA
Source: RNAcentral
CCCGCUGAACUUAAGCAUAUCAAUAAGCGGAGGAAAAGAAACCAACAGGGAUUGCCCCAGUAGCGGCGAGCGAAGCGGCAAAAGCUCAGAUUUGAAAUCUGGCUGCCAUGCGGCGGCCCGAGUUGUAAUCUGCAGGGGAGUAUUCUGGUCGACGUGUCCCGCCUAAGUCCCCUGGAAUGGGGCGCCACAGAGGGUGAGAGCCCCGUGAGGCGGAGCGCGCCGGCCUAUGUGAAUCUCCUCCGACGAGUCGAGUAGUUUGGGAAUGCUGCUCUAAGCGGGAGGUAUAUUCCUUCUAAAGCUAAAUACCGGCUGGAGACCGAUAGCGCACAAGUAGAGUGAUCGAAAGGUGAAAAGCACUUUGGAAAGAGGGUGAAAUAGUACGUGAAAUUGUUGCAGGGGAAGCGCUCUUGACCAGUCGCGCGCCGCGGGGACCAGCCUCCGUUUACUCGGUGGUGUACUCCUCGUGGUUGCGGGCCAGCACCGGCUCUAGCGGUGGGACAGGCGCGCCGGGAACGUGGCCCCGCCUUCGGGUGGGGUGUUAUAGCCCGGUGUGCGUACCGCCCGCUGGGGCCGAGGAAUUCUGCGCCUAGGCUAGGAUGUUGGCAUAAUGGUCAUCAGCGUCCCGUCUUGAAACACGG